This 320-nucleotide long non-coding RNA is filed under the name Phoenix dactylifera (date palm). RNAcentral's name for it is "long non-coding RNA (PDAC_LNC008441)". Lineage: Eukaryota; Viridiplantae; Streptophyta; Magnoliopsida; Arecales; Arecaceae. The record is from RNAcentral.
UACAAUAACCUUUCAGUUUACAUGGUGGCAGAAAUUAUACCUUAUCUUGUUUCAUGUAUUAUCUUUGCCUGAAAGUAUAUAUGCCCAAGCUUCCUUAUCUAUUUCCUUGUCCAAAUUGAUUCAUUAUUUCAAAAUGUUAGUUUUUACUUAAUAUUACUAUGUUAUAUGUUUUUGCCACACCGCAUAUCGUUGCCCUGUUGAGAUGCAAUCAGGUUCCAUUUGAAGAUCUAACUGCAAUCAAGAUUUGAGUAGAACUUACAGUGAGGAACGUCAGUUGAACGCUGUCUACAAGAUUUCCUGUGUCAUUUUGUUUAAUAUCU